CCUACGGGUGGCAGCAGUGAGGAAUAUUGGUCAAUGGCCGGAAGGCUGACCCAGCCAAGCCGCGUGAAGGAUGAAGGAUCUAUGGUUUUUAAACUUCUUUUAUAUGGGAAUGAAGUGAGGAACGUGUUCCUUUUUGUAUGUGCCAUAUGAAUAAGCAUCGGCUAACUCCGUGCCAGCAGCCGAGGUAAUACGGGGGAUUCGAGCGUUAUCCGGAUUUAUUGGGUAUAAAGGGUGCGUAGGUGGAUAAUUAAGUCAGCGGUGAAAGUUUGUGGCUCAACCAUAAAACUGCCGUUGAAACUGGUUGACUUGAGUAUAGUUGAGGUAGGCGGAAUGCGUGGUGUAGCGGUGAAAUGCAUAGAUAUCACGCAGAACACCGAUUGCGAAGGCAGCUUACUAAACUACAACUGACACUGAAGCACGAAAGCGUGGGGAUCAAACAGGAUUAGAUACCCUGGUAGUC
RNAcentral lists this ribosomal RNA (460 nucleotides) under uncultured bacterium. RNAcentral describes it as "partial 16S ribosomal RNA". It matches the Rfam family "Bacterial small subunit ribosomal RNA", at positions 338 to 795 of the family's 1533-position model. The record is from RNAcentral.